RNAcentral lists this ribosomal RNA (301 nucleotides) under uncultured bacterium. Its description in RNAcentral is "partial 16S ribosomal RNA". It matches the Rfam family "Bacterial small subunit ribosomal RNA", at positions 509 to 807 of the family's 1533-position model. The record is from RNAcentral.
CAGCCGCCGCGGGAAUACGAACCGUGCGGACGUUAUUCGGAAUUACUGGGCUUAAAGCGCGUGUAGGCGGCUCGGCACGUCGGACGUUGAAAGCCCCCGGCUCAACCGGGGAAGUGGCGCCGAUACGGCCGAGCUGGAGGGAGGUAGGGGGGUCUGGAACUUCCGGUGGAGCGGUGAAAUGCGUUGAGAUCGGAAGGAACGCCCGUGGCGAAAGCGAGGCCCUGGACCUUUUCUGACGCUGAGACGCGAAAGCCAGGGGAGCGAACGGGAUUAGAGACCCGAGUAGUCCCUGUCUCUUAUA